Molecule: ribosomal RNA, 564 nt
Filed under: Bifidobacterium animalis subsp. lactis
Lineage: Bacteria; Bacillati; Actinomycetota; Actinomycetes; Bifidobacteriales; Bifidobacteriaceae
Description: bacterial SSU rRNA
Rfam family: Bacterial small subunit ribosomal RNA
Source: RNAcentral
UCUCCUGGAAAACGGGUGGUAAUACCGGAUGCUCCGCUCCAUCGCAUGGUGGGGUGGGAAAUGCUUUUGCGGCAUGGGAUGGGGUCGCGUCCUAUCAGCUUGUUGGCGGGGUGAUGGCCCACCAAGGCGUUGACGGGUAGCCGGCCUGAGAGGGUGACCGGCCACAUUGGGACUGAGAUACGGCCCAGACUCCUACGGGAGGCAGCAGUGGGGAAUAUUGCACAAUGGGCGCAAGCCUGAUGCAGCGACGCCGCGUGCGGGAUGGAGGCCUUCGGGUUGUAAACCGCUUUUGUUCAAGGGCAAGGCACGGUUUCGGCCGUGUUGAGUGGAUUGUUCGAAUAAGCACCGGCUAACUACGUGCCAGCAGCCGCGGUAAUACGUAGGGUGCGAGCGUUAUCCGGAUUUAUUGGGCGUAAAGGGCUCGUAGGCGGUUCGUCGCGUCCGGUGUGAAAGUCCAUCGCCUAACGGUGGAUCUGCGCCGGGUACGGGCGGGCUGGAGUGCGGUAGGGGAGACUGGAAUUCCCGGUGUAACGGUGGAAUGUGUAGAUAUCGGGAAAGAACACC